Long non-coding RNA from Uranotaenia lowii, 535 nucleotides. RefSeq lists it as uncharacterized. The record is from RefSeq and is a predicted model, not a curated record. Lineage: Eukaryota; Metazoa; Arthropoda; Insecta; Diptera; Culicidae. The transcript has 3 exons.
CACAAAAUCAUGGCAUCGAUAUUGCGGACCAGCAAAUUUCUGCGCUAUUUCGCCGGAUUCGCGCGGAACGUAAUUUUCAACACAGUCCGGGAGACGGAACGAAGUUUAUUCAGCAAUCGCAUUCUUCUGUGAGCGGUUAUGCUACAUCUGCCGCUAGUUCCAGUCAGGGACUAGACCGAUCUUUGAAGCGGCUGGAUGAAGAUGUAAGACGCUCUGGAAGAAUUUUACGCCGAGAUCUGAAAGAUGUUCCGGAGGAAAUCCGUAUUAACCGUUCCGCUUCCAGCGCUCAAUCUUGACUGGUUAUUCGUUGUUGCGGUCACCUAGUUCCAGAAGACCUUCCCGAGGUGCGUGCAGCUCUGGUUCAGGAGUAAUGGAAAACAUUGAACAGCUUGAACGCAGCAAUGGACAUUUCCCACUACAACGCCCUUCUUCGGGUGUAUAUAGAUAAUGAGCAACGGAAUUUCUGGCGGAUUUGCAGGCCAAGGGCGUUGAACCGAAUCGGGUCACCUAUCAGCGAUUUAUUUCGCGCUACUGC